UUGCUUCGGCAGCACAUAUACUAAAAUUGGAACGAUACAUAGAAGAUUAGCAUGGCCCCUGCACAAGUUCAAAUUUUUAACCUCAUAUAUAAAUGCCAUUUGU
This is a small nuclear RNA of Acomys russatus (golden spiny mouse), 103 nucleotides long. The record is from RefSeq and is a predicted model, not a curated record. Lineage: Eukaryota; Metazoa; Chordata; Mammalia; Rodentia; Muridae.